Long non-coding RNA from Gallus gallus (chicken), 7275 nucleotides. The record is from Ensembl. Lineage: Eukaryota; Metazoa; Chordata; Aves; Galliformes; Phasianidae.
CUCUCCCAGCCCCGAAAUGACGCAGCCCCCGCUCCGGCAUCGCCUCCCGUCUGGGCUGGCUCCGUUUCAGGAGCUCCGUCUCCCCCCACCCCCUUCUUCCCAGCCUUCCUCCUUCCUCCUCCUCCUCGCCUCACCGUCACUCUCAAACAACCCCCCCCCACCCGACACCCGCUCCCCCCCGCCGCCCCAAACUCCUUCCUCAGGACCGCGGGAUGCCGGCGAGCCCUGGCGAGCGCCGCCGCUCUCCAUUUCCAAGCGGGGAGAGCCGCCGGGAGCGCCGCCUGGACUCUCACAGUUCUUCGGUAGCUUUUCUGAUCCAUCAUGUCAGCCUGGCAGCUGUGCCUCUGCGCUCUGCCUGCUGCCCACCGCCAGCCAGAUUUCAGCCUCCUACGUGUGGCAUGCCCUCUUCCCUGGCUGUCCCCUCACCGGAGAGCUCAUUUUGCCUGCGCCUCUAUUUAAUGGAUUUCCUGUAACUGGAAGAACUGCUUUCUCUCAGGGGUCUUCUUAGCCCACGGCACCAGCUCCACAAGCACAGAGGAGUGUGUGUUCCCAGAUGUACCCAGGCCCACUCUGUUCUCCAGCCUCGUUACAUGGGUUUCUGUCUCUCCUCAGCAUCCCCUUGAAUGGCAUCUACUGCACAUAACUUUUCGGACCACAAAGCUGAAACACUUCCUGUGACUCAAAUGGCUCCAGCACAGCUAUUUCCUAGAAGACAUCCUCCCUGAUUUCUUGUGGUGCCUGUUAGAUUGCUGAAGUUGCAGCAAAGAUAUGGAAAAGACAAUUGAGGUCUUAUUGCUCCUGUUGGAAACUUCUGCCGACUACAGCAAGAGUUGGACUGGGCCCAGAGAAACCAGAUACAUACAAGUUGCAAUGAGUUGGCCACACAAGCAAGGAAAAUCACAGAUAACGGAUGCACACAAAUUAGUAAUGUACCUUUUAGGUCAUCCAGUACAGCUUGCUGACACAUUGAGAUUGUCUCCUAUGGCAUAUUUUUGGUUGCUUUGGAUGACUGGAUUAAAUGUCCUAAGUAAUGCCAUUUACUUAAGGAGAGAUUGUGCUGCCCAGUAUAUCCUGUUAGAAGUCUUUUUUUCCUUUCUUAACAUCAUCAUAUUUCUCCCAGUUUUGUUCCUUUGCAAACCUCCUUAUUUCCCUUCUGCGAUGCUAUUUUUUCUCCAGUGUCUUUAGACUAAUGUGAUGUUCCAUUUAGUUAACAUUAAGUCAGUUCAUACCUAUUUAGAUCAUUUAAUCUUUUCUGAUAAAUCAGUCCUUUCAGUCUCCUGGUUAUUUUCUCAUCUCCUCUUGUCCCACUCCUGUCUGUCAGUAGCUUUUUUAGCUAUGAUAUUUUAAAGAUGUGGUGCAUUUAUCUGAACUAACGGCAGGUUGGGCACAGACUUGAGCACCCUCAAUACCUUCUCACUGAAAACCACUCAAGGGAAGGCCACUGGCACUCUGUGCAAACAAGCAGGCAGAGCAUUCUGUUCAAACCAUUUCCUUGGUAUCACCUGUUUUACUGAUCAUCAACAAAAAACAUUUAAACAUUUAGCCUAGUGAUUCAAAAACCAAACAUGGGUCACUAUAGAUUAAUUAUAUUUUUUCAUAAUGCUAGGAAAUAUAAUGGCAGAGAGGAAAAUACAUUUGUUGUUGGUAUUUUCAAACUCUUGGUCGUGGAUAUCACAAUCUAAAAUUAUGGAAGAUGUUGUCUUGUCUAGUAACUAUAUUUGGGUGCCACUGGAGUACACUGUAGAAAGUAAUUAUAUAUGUAGUCACAAGCAUAGCUGUUCACGUCAGGCAAUAAAUUCUGAUCAACAAACAACACUCCUUUAGUGCUAAAUGAAAUCUUGGCUGUAAUUGACUGUCUUUACCUUUGUGUUCUGUUGGAUUGGAGGAAUAUCAUUUUAAUCUGCUCUCUUUAAAUUUUCAUUAAGGAACGUUUCAGCUACCUGCAGCCUCGUCUGAUGAUGUUUAAUGAUAUAAGCUAGCACGUUCUUCCGUGCACCAGCAGGGGCUUCUUUAAAUUGGUCAACCGUACAGAACAUUGUUUUCGUGUUUAAUGUACUUGGAAUCAACCUUUUAAAAUAAUGAUGUCUCUACAGACAGUUUAUAUACGUAGCACACACACAUAUGUGCAUGUGUAUGUAUGCAUAUAUACGCGUAAGUGCACACAUACAUAGAGAAACACUGAUCCUAUUCACCUUCUUGAAAACAUUUCAGCUAGUAUUAGCAUAAAUGUGCUGUUAAGUUGGCAGUGUUAUACAUUUUUGUUGGAGUUUACUUCUGUAACCUAAAAUCAAGCAGAUAAGCUGUGAAACUCAUGCAGCUGAUGACAUAACGCUGGGAUCUCAUGAUGCUGAAUCUCAUAUUUCUAGGCAUAAAGGAUGGAUGUUCCUUUCUGGAAUUAUUAUGCUGCCUAUUGCAAUAUAUGUUUUCUUGUUUUCAUGUGGGCACUGAGAUGUUCAAACCAUUAAAUGUAUAUGGUAUAAUGAGUCCUGUGUUCCUUAUUUAUUCUAAAGAAGGCAUUAACUUUCUAUGGUUGUUUUAUUGUAUGAUAAUAAAGCCAACUACUCUAAGAAUCUGUGAUGAACAUAGCAAUAAGCUGUGACAAUAUGCAUAGUUACAUUUAAUGCCGAUGUCCAAAUGUACAUAUGUGCAUAUAAAUAAGCAUAUAUGUAUAUUCAAGCACUCAAAGAUAGGUACACACACAAAUUAAAUACAGUCAAUUAGGAUAUGGCAUAAGCAGAUUCAAAGCUUACCUGUUACGGCUUUGUAAAGGGGGAAAUCCGAACCACAAAGACACACAUGAAAGUAAAGCUCUAUAUACUCCAUUGGCUCGUUACCAUUAUGCUCAACAGUGACAGGCUGUAUGCUAAGACGGGGUACCAGCAGACAUUCGCCAUGACAGCUGGUUCAAAACAGAGCUUUCAAAAUAGUGCAACACCCCUCACUUCCUUCCAAAUCCUGGUGUUUGCCAGCAGCACUUAGCUGAGGCUGGCUCUUAAGGUCAGAUGUUCAGAUAUAAGUUGUCUGAAAUGAAUCUGCUUCUUUGUUUUUGGACCGUGUAUAUGUUCAGCAUAGCAUCUAGGCUCUUCAUGAAUUUGUGUUUGAGUUCACACGUGAGUAGUGCUUGCCUAUUACCUGAAAAAAUGAUGGAUGUUUUUCCCCGACACCAUGCUCUAUUUGCCUGAGAUUGUCCUCUAUCAAAUUCUCCUUUCUUUUGUGGGUUACAUAAAAUGAGAGCCAUACACAGGCUUCUUGUUUUCACUGAAAAAAAUAAAAAAGCACAGCCCCUCUGUUGAGAAAUAGAAGCAAAACGGUUUCUCUUUAACAUCACCCACAUCACACGCACUGCUCAGCCAAUUAGGGACAGAGCAUAAAAAAUACUUAGUUUAUCCUGUGUGACUUUUCCCAGUAGAUACAUAUAGAAUCUGGAAAUAAACACACUCCUCCUUUGGAAGGAAACGCAAACAGGGUUUAUCUAUUUGCAUUUGAACUCAGUGAAAAAUAACCAGGCACAAAAAGCAAGCUUGAAGAUAAGACACCAGUAUACAUAAAGCUAAAUUUUAGCAAGCUAAAUUCUGCUAUGCUGUUAUAAUUGCUACGCAAAACACGAGCUAAUUCAUUGUUCCAUUGUGCUGGUGAAAUAGGUAUGCGUUACAUGUGGGGCAGGUAGGGGAGCUUACACAGGGAUGCUGUUGACUUUGCUGAGCAGCCAGUGUGUGGGGAGCAUGCCAUCAACAACCUUGUGAAAAUGAGGCUGGUGAACCAGCUUGGUCUCGGAAAUGACUUUAGAGUGGGUAGAAUAAUAUUUAAAAACUAUGAUGAAUUAUAGCUGCAGCACACGAAUACUAAGUGUGUGCAGUUUAUCAUUUACCAUAUCACCUGGGGACCCCAAGACCUGAGUGUCAGAUCUUCAGAGGAAUUCAGAUGGCUAAACGUGCUGCUGCCUGGGGAUCUUCAGUGCUGCCCAGACACAUCCCUCCUAAUGCAAUCAAGGAGAUCCAGGUAUCAGGGCUCUUCAGAAAAGCAUUGAUCAGUCUCUUGGGCAGCUCCACUCCGUUCCUGGAGUAUUGACCCUGCUUCAGCUGGAAGUGCCUCUGGGGAGGUGCUGAGGUGAAUGGGAUGAGGCUGUGCACAUUUCUGGAGGAGGUAGGGCUCUCCUGCAAGCCAGAGGCAUGAGCAGGGCUGCUUCCCUGCAGCAGGCCCGCUGGGCUUUCUGAUGCUCAGCUCACCAGCUCCGGUGGUACACGAGCAGCGUGGGUACACACUGUGGCUGGCGAUGCCCCUGUUUGACAUCAGCCUUCCCUCCUGGAUCCGGGCCGCUGCUGAUUGCUGAGGGGUGGCCAGGAGCAGCUCCCUCUGGUGAACCUCUUUUGUGCUUUUAUCUCCCUCCUCUUGGCAGUGAGCUGGCACUGGAUGCCAGCCACGGCCCGCUCACCCUCCCCAGUGCCCAGCCGGAAUGCUCAGCCAGUGCCUACUUCUCUUCCAGCAGCUGGCCCUACUUCUCCUCCACAGCUGGCUGCUGCCCCCUACUGUGGUAAUUAUUAUUUAUGAUGGAUAUUCAGUGUACAUUAUGUGUCCAGAGUCCAGUGCCAUCUGAGUCAGUACCAGAGUCCUACUGAGUGGGCAGAAGCACACAGCAAUGCGCUGUUGUUCCACACAUACACUCACCAGGCUCUCACACAGGGAUAGACUGAGGGGGAGGGAGUGAAGGUGGCUGUUGGCACCUAUUAGCAUGAUCUGAUGUGACACGUACUCUGUGUCCUGUGUUACAUGACUCUGACGACACCACAGCUGAGUGCAGAACUGCUUUUCUUCACCUUGCUAUCAAUAGCAGGUCUCUUGCAAUUCAUGCUAUCAAAUGGGAAACACGCAAGGUGUUUGCCAAAAGACGUGGUUGCUGCUCAGCCUCUGCUUAACUCCCUUUUGCUUUGAAGGUAGAUAUCGCUUGGUGCUCAGCUGCUGUCGAGAAGUGACGACCAUAGACCUCAGCAUGGCUUCAUUGGGCAUCACUCAAUUUCCUGUUUCUCUCCCCAACUGUCUUUUCCAGGAGUGCCUGAUUGUGCUGGUCCCUUGUUGCAUGUGUCUAUCAUCUCCCUCUUGCCCUUCACCUUUCCUUCUCACACUGCCUCCUUGAACCCAUUACCCUCAGGCAAAUACAGCAGAGCUUUAACUUCCAUAUCUUAGUGUAAAAGCAAAAGCACCUGAAUGAAGCAGCAUCCUCCAUGCAUUCAGAAAAAUACAGAAUCUUAAACAUGCUUCAAACACACAUGUAAUGUAUGCGAGCCAGCUUCUCAGCUAUAGUGGUUAGGUUUAUCUGUUAAAGAUGAUGGAACAAUACUGUUUCAUGGCAGCUAAGGAUCUGUCCCAGUAUGUAAAUGUAAAUAUCUAUUUUUACAAGCCCUCCUACAGUUUGCUUUAAAAGAAACCUUUCUUUUUAGACACUGAAAGCAUACAAGCCAGUCAGAAAUGUCCCACUUUCUAUAUUUUGUUUAAUUCCUACCUCUGACUUCCUUUGAAAUCUAAUGAAUUCAAAAAAGACAGAGUGAAUUAAAAGUGAAGUAGCUUUGCCUUUGGUGCACAGGGCCUGUAGGAACUGAAAAAAAAAGAAAAAAACAGGAAAGAAAUGAAAUGGGUAUGAAGCCACAUCAAUCCAAAUAAUUUUAAAUGUUUGAUGGUAAGCAAGCUCACCAAACCUAGCAAAAUUCCCACUGUCCUUUUGCUUGUGACUUCUAUCCUUUCAACUAGCUGUGGCAAAUUAAUGUUGAGAGCAAAUACUCAUGCAUUCAGUCUGUAUCAGGGCACUUUCUGCCAUGAUUCUCUUUUUAAAUUGUUUUGAGUUUUAUGUCUAAUUGCUUCCUUUGUGUUUUAUGCACAAAGAUGCCUGCAUCCCAUAUUUCAUAUGUAUCGAGCUAUAGUUCUUGGAUAGGGUGUAUUCAAACCUCAGAACUCUUCAAGUUUGAUUCCAGGAACUGAUUUGUCCUUUUUUUAAAGAUAGGAACCACAUGUGCAACCUGGAUCCAGAUCUAGGGUAGGGUCUGGAUACGUUACUUUAAAUGCACUAGGAUGAGGGAUCCAAACUUGUUUAUUUGUAAUGAAAUUAGUUCUAAUACCUACUGCUGGAUGCUCAACUUUCCCCUCACUAUGAAGAGAAAUGUUCACAUAUUUACUUCUGGUCUUAUUUAUAAUUCAUUGCAGAAUCACACUGUCUUCAGGAUAUUUUUCUCAGUUUGGUUUGUUACCAUCCUCUUUAGCAAUUGCUUAUAACUAAUUGGAUCGCUUGCACAUGGCCACACUCCUCUGAUAAGUCCCUGUUAUCCCACUCGCCCUCUGAAGGCUGCUCUGCUGGCUCCUCGAGGCACUCCAGUAAAACAGAGAGGUACUUGUCCCUUAGUACCAACCUAAAGCCAUUUAACAGACUGAGGGACACCCUCAUGGGUUUCUUCUGUCCAACGUACUCUCUUUAGCUACUGUUCAGAACCGGUUUCUUGGGCCCCCUAAAACUCGUAAACUUCAAAGCUCUGCAAUUCCCAGGAUUUUCCUCAUCUCCUUUUGAAGACAGGCAACAUAAUAGGGCUUCCCAGCCUUCUAGUGCUGCUGCGUUUUUCAAGGGAAGAAGGCAUCCCCUUGUCAGUAUCUUGGCUUUUUCUCACUUUAUUUCCCCUCAGAACUCCCAGAUGAACACCAUCCGGUUGUGGUGAUUUACUGCAUUUGAGUUUCUCAAGUUACGCUACAACUUCCUCCUCAGAGACUUCAAUCUGUAUAAAGGCCACACUCUGAUUUUCUUUGCAAAGUGCCUUUGGCACAGGAAUUUCUGCGCGACUCUCGGCAGCAGACAUGAUGCGAGGGAUUUAUUUAACUUCUCUGUUAGCUUGUUGCACUUAUCUCCUGACCCACUUUAUAUGGAUUCGUGAGGAUCUGUGGGGUGUUUUGGUGCAUAGCCCAACAUAAGAUUUAUAUUCACUUACAGGUGAGGCCCAGCCCUCACCUGGUGUUCUCUUGCUGUUCCACCAAAGGAUAUUUCUGCACAUUACUGCAGCCACUCUCCUUUCUUCCCACUCCUUUUCUGUUUUAAGAAAGAUAGAAGCUGCCAUACGGCCCAGCCAAUCUUCAGUGAUUAUGAAGGACAGAACUAGAACAUUAGAAAUGGUGCAAAAAUAUUCUCCAUGUCCUCUGGUCACUGUAGGCUGGUUUAAACUCCAGAUAUAUAUACUUGAUUUGAGAUAUAUGACAAACAAUGUUGCCCUUUGGUAUGAGAUGGAUAUAGAAUGGACAUCAGCU